UGAAAUUCCAUCCUACCCCUUGACAAUCUUUAUCAACUUAAAUCACUGAAGUAAGAAAUAAGAGGAAAUAUAUAUGAGGGCUAGAUUCAAAAAACUAAUGGCAAAGAAAUGGUCUUCCUCCUCAUUGAAGUAUGUACCUUCAGGUGCAAAUCACCAAAACUGCAUGAGGAAGUUGUUGUUCCCUUCCUCAGGAGGUGUGAAUUUAAUCCUUUAAUCCAAAUUAGUGUCCUAGCUACCAACAGCACCUUCAGGCUUGAAGGAAUACCUAUAUUUGGAGGCACGUCAAUUAAUUUGCAUAUCAGAUUCAUCAUUGUGACUUCUUGCAGGCCAGAUCUGAGAAGUAACCAGGAAAGCUGACCCUUAGUGGAGAAUGGAAAAAACAUUGAAGUCAGAGCACAACUGAUCACUAGUGUAACCUGCAUUGAAUCAUCUUUCUCAGAUCUGACAGCUACAAGCUGACUCCUGGCAAAAGCCACAGCCUUAAAUUCCAUUUAGUGAGAAAGAAGGAUAAGACAGCUCAAUGUCUCGCCCUGUUGCAGAAACUGCUGUCUCCAAGCCUGACACCUGAGUUCUGUGCUGAGCAGCCAGAGUACCAAACAACCAGUUUUUUAUGGGUACAGCCAGCAUCAACAAAUAUUUCAAUAUAUAGCCAAAAGGAGAAACAAAGCACUUACAUAAUUUCAGAAAAUGGAUACGUUUAUUGUAACAGAGGAAUGUUACUGUCUGUGGGGAAGAAGACCUCUGUCACCCCUUGUACAUAUUCAAAGCCAUACAGGAGCAGGGCAUAAGUGAAGCCCAGUCACUUAAAAGGAUGGUGUCUCCUGUCCUUCACCCAACUUUGAGGAAGUUCCGCUCUUAGAGAUUGCAUCUCAAUGCACUUCUAUUAUUUGCACUGUCACUUCCAUUCAGGGUAAUGAUGUGUGCCACCAUUUGCACAGAUGGCCCCAGGAGAUUUUUGACCACAACAAGCUAUACUUUGCCAGGGCUCCAAAAGGAAUUAAAAAGUUAAAACUGAAGAAAGACAUUUAUGCUCUCUUUCACUAUGGGGAUCUCUUCACAGAAAGGACUAUGGUUCUUUCUUAGGAUGAAAUAAAUACAUGCAUAUACAUACA
This 1112-nucleotide long non-coding RNA is filed under the name Parus major (Great Tit). RNAcentral describes it as "lncRNA (ENSPMJG00000005564.1)". The record is from RNAcentral. Lineage: Eukaryota; Metazoa; Chordata; Aves; Passeriformes; Paridae.